GUGCCUUAGAUGCAUUUAGAGGAGUGUAGUUGGUGAAUCUUUUAGACAGCGACCAGCACCACUACCCUUUGGGACUUCUGGAUUGUCCACUCCAAAGGGGAGUUCUAAAUCACCAGCAUCAGGGUAGAGUCUUGGAUCGCUGUCAACUCCUUUGAGGAUCCUCCCACCUUGGUGAGCAUUUUUGAUCUUCUUGCUUCUCCUCGAUGGUAGCAUCAGUCGAGGUUCCAUACACUUUAAAGGCUUCCUCAGCUCGAGCAUACUUUUUAGCCCAAGCCAACAUUUCAUUGAAGUCCUUUAAGUAGGUCUUCGCUAGUGAGAAGAGGAGAGCGUUCUUCUAAAGUCCAUCCUUCAAGGUGGUCAUUGCGAUCGAUUAGUCUAAGUCGCAUGCUUCUAGGAUGGCUACAUUGAAGCGGCUCAAAUAAACUCAGAGAGAUUCUCCUUUCCACUGCUUAAUAUUUAUCAAGGAAUCGAAUCC
Molecule: long non-coding RNA, 475 nt
Filed under: Elaeis guineensis (African oil palm)
Lineage: Eukaryota; Viridiplantae; Streptophyta; Magnoliopsida; Arecales; Arecaceae
Description: long non-coding RNA (EGUI_LNC008841)
Source: RNAcentral